Non-coding RNA from Caenorhabditis elegans, 76 nucleotides. The record is from Ensembl. NCBI's taxonomy places the organism in Eukaryota, Metazoa, Nematoda, Chromadorea, Rhabditida, Rhabditidae.
UUUUAUGUGAUUAUUCACACCUUUUCUGUCAAUGCGAUUUCAUUUAUCCCCAUUUCUCUCUUUUAUUUCUUUUUUU